Molecule: non-coding RNA, 1791 nt
Organism: Triticum aestivum (bread wheat)
Lineage: Eukaryota; Viridiplantae; Streptophyta; Magnoliopsida; Poales; Poaceae
Source: Rfam
UACCUGGUUGAUCCUGCCAGUAGUCAUAUGCUUGUCUCAAAGAUUAAACCAUGCAUGUGCAAGUAUGAACCAAUUUGAACUGUGAAACUGUGAAUGGCUCAUUAAAUCAGUUUUAUUUUGUUUGAUGGUACGUGCUACUCGGAUAACUGUAGUAAUUCUAGAGCUAAUACAUGUAACAAACCCCGACUUCUGGGAGGGGGCACAUUUAUUAGAUAAAAGGCGGACGUGGGCUCUACUCGCUGAUCCGAUGAUUCAGGAUAACUCGAUGGAUCGCACUGCCUCCAUGCCAGCGACACAUCAUUCAAAUUUCUGCCCUGUCAACUUUGGAUGGUAGGAUAGGUGCCUACCAUUGUGGUGACGGGUGACGGAGAAUUAGGGUUCGAUGCCAGAGAGGGAGCAUGAGAAACGGCUACCACAUUCAAGGAAGGCAGCAUGCGUGUAAAUUACCCAAUCCUGACACGGGGAGGUAGUGACAAUAAAUAAAAAUACCGGGCACAUUAGUGUGUGGUAAUUAGAAUGAGUACAAUCUAAAUCCCUUAAAGAGGAUCCGUUGGAGGGCAAGUCUGGUGCCAGCAACCGUGGUAAUUCCAGCUCCAAUAGCGUAUAUUUAAGUUGUUGUAGUUCAAAAGCUCGUAGUUGGAUCUUCGGGCCGGUCGGCUGGUCCACCUCACGGCGAGCACCGACCUACUCGACCCUAGCCUUACUUGGUCGGGUCAUGUUUCCGACAUCGUUACUUUGAAGAAAUUAGAGUGCUCAAAGCAAGCCAUCACUCUGGGUACAUUAGCAUGGGAUAACAUCAUACGAUUCUGGUCCUAUUGUGUUGGCCUUCGGGAUCGCAGUAAUGAUUAAUAGGGACACACGAGGGUAUUCAUAUUUCAAUGUCAGAGGUGAAAUUCUUGGAUUUAUGGAAGAUGAGCAACUAUGAAAGCAUUUGCCUAGGAAGUUUUCAUUAAUCAUGAACAAAAGUUGGGGGCUCGAAGACGAUCAGAUACCAUCCUAAUCUCAACCAUAAACGAUGCCGACCAGGGAUUGGCGGAUGUUGCUUAUAGGACUCCGCCGGAACCUUAUGAGAAAUCAAAUUCUCUAGGAUCCGGGGGGAGUAUGGUCGCAAGAGUGAAAUUUAAAGGAAUUGAUAGAAGGGCACCACCAGGUGUGGAGCCUGUUGCUUAAUUUGACUCAACAUAGGGAAACUUACCAGGUCCAGACAUAGCAAGAAUUGACAGACUAAGGGCUCUUUCUCGAUUCUAUGGGUGGUGGCGCAUGGCCGUUCUUAGUUGGUGGAGUGAUUUGUCUGGUUAAUUCGGUUAAGAAUGAGACCUCCGCCUGCUAAGUAGCAAUGCAGAGCCAUCCCUCCAUAGCUAGCUUCUUAGAGGGACUAUCGCUGUUUAGGCGACUGAUGUUUGAGGCAAUAACAGGUUUGUGAUGCCCUUAUAUGUUCUGGGCCGUAUGUGCGGUACACUGAUGUAUUCAACGACUAUAUAGCCUUAGCCGACAGGCCCGGGUAAUCUUGGGAAAUUUCAUCAUUAUGGGGAUAAAUCAUUGCAAUUGUUGGUCUUCAACGAGGAAUGCCUAUUAAGCGUGAGUCAUCAGCUCGGGUUGACCAGAUCCCAGCCCUUUGUACACACCGCCAGUUGGUCCUACCGAUUGAAUGGUACGGUGAAGUAUUGGUAUUGCGGCGACGGGGGCGGUUCACCGCCCCCGGUGUCGCCAGAAGUCCAUUGAACCUUAUCAUUUAGAGGAAGGAGAAGUCGUAACAAGGUUUCCGUAGGUGAACCCGCGGACGGAUUGUUG